Non-coding RNA from Triticum urartu, 114 nucleotides. NCBI's taxonomy places the organism in Eukaryota, Viridiplantae, Streptophyta, Magnoliopsida, Poales, Poaceae. The record is from Rfam.
AAGAUACUCCCUCCGUUCCGAAUUACUCGUCGCAGAAAUGGAUGUAUCUAGAUUAUUUUAGUUCUAGAUACAUCCAUUUCUAUGCGGAGUAAUUUAGAACGAAGGGAGUACAUC